RNAcentral lists this transfer-messenger RNA (372 nucleotides) under Oscillospiraceae. RNAcentral's name for it is "UBA3855 sp900319285 Standard tmRNA". It matches the Rfam family "transfer-messenger RNA". From Rfam's summary of the family: Bacterial tmRNA, also known as 10Sa RNA or SsrA, is named for its dual tRNA and mRNA-like properties. Its role is to liberate the mRNA from a stalled ribosome. To accomplish this part of the tmRNA is used as a reading frame that ends in a translation stop signal. The record is from RNAcentral. RNAcentral also lists the same sequence under 1 other name. Lineage: Bacteria; Bacillati; Bacillota; Clostridia; Eubacteriales.
GGGGGCGUACCGGUUUCGACGGGGGUCUUGCACCAUGAUAAGCGAGUAGAGCCUUGCUGUUGCUCUUAAAUCUACGGCACGUUUUAAAAAUAAACGCUAACAACAACAUUACUGUAAGCUCUCGCAGCCUGCAGGUCGCUGCCUAAGUCAGCGUCUGUCCUGUAACUGAGUACCACGGCUUUUACAGGGCAUCAUUUCAGUGGUGAACGUCCCGGCGGCACGUCCACACCGCAGGGAUGUAUUUGGACUACCUUCCCUCUCAGCCUGUUCACCGGCGGGGUCGGCGGGGAAACUUAAAUAGAUGGACUACACUCGUAGAAAUUUGUGGGAACGGGCUUUCGGACAGGAGUUCGAUUCUCCUCGCCUCCACCA